AUUUAGCGCUGGCGGCAUGCUUAACACAUGCAAGUCGAACGGCAGCAUGGUCUAGCUUGCUAGACUGAUGGCGAGUGGCGAACGGGUGAGUAACGCGUAGGAAUAUACCUUUAAGUGGGGGACAACUUGGGGAAACUCAAGCUAAUACCGCAUAAUUUCUUAGGAAAAAAGCUGGGGACCUUCGGGCCUGGCGCUUGAAGAUUAGCCUGCGUCCGAUUAGCCAGUUGGUAGGGUAAAGGCCUACCAAGGCGACGAUCGGUAGCUGGUCUGAGAGGAUGACCAGCCACACUGGGACUGUGACACGGUCCAGACUCCUACGGGAGGCAGCAGUUGGGAAUAUUGGACAAUGGGGGCAACCCUGAUCCAGCAAUGCCGCGUGUGUGAAGAUGGCCUGAGGGUUGUAAAGCACUUUCAGUGGGGAGGAGGAUUCAUAGGUUAAGAGCUAGUGAAUUGGACGUUACCCACAGAAGAAGCACCGGCUAACUCCGUGCCAGCCGCCGCGGUAA
Molecule: ribosomal RNA, 506 nt
Filed under: uncultured bacterium
Lineage: Bacteria
Description: partial 16S ribosomal RNA
Rfam family: Bacterial small subunit ribosomal RNA
Source: RNAcentral